This 706-nucleotide ribosomal RNA is filed under the name Bacillus sp. (in: firmicutes). RNAcentral's name for it is "bacterial SSU rRNA". It matches the Rfam family "Bacterial small subunit ribosomal RNA", at positions 56 to 744 of the family's 1533-position model. The record is from RNAcentral. Lineage: Bacteria; Bacillati; Bacillota; Bacilli; Caryophanales; Bacillaceae.
UGCAGUCGAGCGGACAGAUGGGAGCUUGCUCCCUGAUGUCAGCGGCGGACGGGUGAGUAACACGUGGGUAACCUGCCUGUAAGACUGGGAUAACUCCGGGAAACCGGGGCUAAUACCGGAUGCUUGAUUGAACCGCAUGGUUCAAUUAUAAAAGGUGGCUUUUAGCUACCACUUACAAAUGGACCCGCGGCGCAUUACCUAGUUGGGGAGGUAACGGCUCACCAAGGCAACAAUGCGUACCCAACCUGAAAGGGUGAUCGGCCACACUGGGACUGAAACACGGCCCAAACUCCUACGGGAGGCAGCAGUAGGGAAUCUUCCGCAAUGGACAAAAGUCUGACGGAGCAACGCCCCGUGAGUGAUGAAGGUUUUCGGAUCGUAAAACUCUGUUGUUAGGGAAGAACAAGUACCGUUCGAAUAGGGCGGUACCUUGACGGUACCUAACCAAAAAGCCACGGCUAACUACGUGCCACCACCCGCGGUAAUACUUAGGUGGCAAGCGUUGUCCGGAAUUAUUGGGCGUAAAGCGCGCGCAGGCGGUUUCUUAAGUCUGAUGUGAAAGCCCCCGGCUCACCCGGGGAAGGGUCAUUGAAAACUGGGGAACUUGAGUGCAAAAAAGGAGAGUGCAAUUCCACGUGUAGCGGUGAAUGCGUAGAGAUGUGAAAGAACACCAGUGCAGAAGGCGACCUCUCUGGUCUGUACUGAC